AUGCUGGAGGUUCGCUAGCCGAAGCGGCUGCAUCUGGCGCCGCGUCUGCCCCGCGUGCUCGGAGCGGAUUCUGCCCGCCGUCCCCGGAGCCCUCGGCGCCCCGCUGAGCCCGCGAUCACUUCCUCCCUGUGACCAACCGGCGCUGCAGGUUAGAGCCUGGCAAUGCCGUUUGGGUGUGUGACUCUGGGCGACAAGAAGAACUAUAACCAGCCAUCGGAGGUGUUUGACUGGAUCCUGGACCAGGGCUACUACUCGGAGCGAGACACAAGCAACGUGGUACGGCAAGUCCUGGAGGCCGUGGCCUAUUUGCACUCACUCAAGAUCGUGCACAGGAAUCUCAAGCUGGAGAACCUGGUUUACUACAACCGGCUGAAGAACUCGAAGAUUGUCAUCAGUGACUUCCAUCUGGCUAAGCUAGAAAAUGGCCUCAUCAAGGAGCCCUGUGGGACCCCCGAGUAUCUGGGCAAGCAGGGGGUGGGGCAGGGGCAGGGGGAUAAUGGGGGGCAGCCUUCA
Molecule: small RNA, 513 nt
Filed under: Pan troglodytes (chimpanzee)
Lineage: Eukaryota; Metazoa; Chordata; Mammalia; Primates; Hominidae
Description: retained intron
Source: RNAcentral